Molecule: long non-coding RNA, 623 nt
Organism: Octopus bimaculoides (California two-spot octopus)
Lineage: Eukaryota; Metazoa; Mollusca; Cephalopoda; Octopoda; Octopodidae
Source: RefSeq, a predicted model, not a curated record
UUUUCCCUUUUCUUGUUUUGUCUGAAAGGUCUAGAGACAAACACUUCCCUCUCUGGUGAAUCUCUCAUCAACUUCUUCAAGUAUUACUUGAAGAGGAAGGUAAGAGUAGAGAGGGAAGUUCUGUCUACUGAAUGCUUCAAGAAAAGACAGGUGAAUGUAGCAAGGAUGGCACGUGUGAAUGACGGAACCACCUUGAGCAUAACCCUAUGAACCAGAAAAAAAGUCAUUUGAAUGCGGCCAUGCUUGGAGCACCGCCUUUAGUCGAACAAAUCGACCCCAGCAUUUAUUCUUUAUUUUCGCGAAAAAUAAAAAAGAAAAUACGUGAGUGAAGAGGACCUGCUGAGGAGAAGAAAGAGAAAAGAAGGAAGAGAACGACUACAGCAGGACUGGCCAGAUUGAUGCGGCUAAUGUUCAGUACGAAGUUUUGUAAGGUCAUUGCUUGUAAGAAAAACCGAAUUAAAGAUUCCAGAGGAUUUUAGUUCUGAAAACAAAGCACCAGGCGUGGAGUCUGAAAGAUGAGCCACUUGAAAAUUAUUUGUCAGUGUUCUAUUACUAGAAAGUGAACUCAUCUUCAUUUUUUCAUUUUAUCGAUUCUGAUAUAUAAAAUGUUUUCAUGAAUUAUA